Drosophila miranda is the source of this 1685-nucleotide long non-coding RNA. RefSeq lists it as uncharacterized. The record is from RefSeq and is a predicted model, not a curated record. The transcript has 2 exons. NCBI's taxonomy places the organism in Eukaryota, Metazoa, Arthropoda, Insecta, Diptera, Drosophilidae.
CAACAUCAACAGUAACAGCAACAGCAACAGCAACAAAAUCAUCAGCAGCCGAAUAAGAAGAGAGAGGAAGAGAAAAUCGCGUGCUAAAAUAUUUUUUUUUUGCCCGCCCUCCCAGCGUGAUAGUUUAUCUCUUGUGCCCGCACUGUGUGGCGUGUGCGUGUGUGUGUGUGCGAGCCUCUGCUGUGUGCGUGAGUGUGCCCCCCAAUGUGGUUGUGUGUGUGCGUAAAUUCUUUAACUAAAAUUGAUUGUUUAUUUCCGUUGUUGCAACAAAAAAGCAGCAACAACAAUGCUUCAUAGAUAACAAACAAAAAAUGAAAUUAAAUUUGGGGCAGUUGCCAAUUGAAAAAAACAAAAUGUGAUUUCCUUAUCAGAGCAGAGCGCACUAAAACAACAACAACAACAAAAGCAAAAGCAAAAGCAACAACAACAAAGAGCAAGAGAAAUAAAGAGCGAGUGAGGGAGAUAAUAAUACCUAUAUAUAUACAUGUAUAUAUAUAGUGUAUAUAGUAUAGUGCUUAUGAGGCAAUCGGCUCUCGAUCGAUCAUCAACGGAAAUAAAAUCAAAUUCAAAUUUCAAAAUGUCAUUCCAAAAGCGCAAACAAACCACAAAAACAGCAAAAUUGUUCAACAACUAAAACAAAACGAGAAAGUACCGUAAAUUAAAUCAACUAUAAAAAGAAAACGAAUUUUUUUUUUAUACACACAAAAACAAGGAUCAUCACUAACAAUUUAAUUGUUUUUUUAUUGUGUUGUGGAAAGUUAAAAGAAAGAAAGAACAAGCGAGAAGAAGUAGAAACAAAAGUUAAACGUAAAUAGAAAUACAAAAAUACAAAAAAAAAUAUUAAAUAUUCAAUAAAUACGUAGUAGGAUAAUAACAUACUGAUUAUUCCGUGCAAUCUAUUUCUAAAAUAACACAAAAACAAAACGAAAGCCAUAAAGAAAAACGUACAUACAUAUAGUAUACAUAUACAUAUAUAACUGAUAACUGAAGAGCCCGAAGAAGAAGAACGCAAAGAAAGAGCCAGAAUCAAACUGAAAACUGAUCAAACUUGCCACAAAGACACACAACAUAACACAGCCCCCUACCACCCCAUAUACAAAAUACCAUAGUAUAUAUAUCCAAAGCAGCUUUAAACUGGGAAAUCCUCUUCUUGAAAACCGAAACGUGAUAAAAAGUAAGUUCUGGACGGACGGUUUGGUGCACUUAACCCAAAUCGAUGGCUCCUCCGACAGGAGAGAGAGACAAGAGAGGAAUCGGGCUAACAAGACAAGUCACUUAAUGGCUGUCUCCAGUUUAGUGCAUUUUCGUGAUACCCCUCAAAAGAGGGUCAUCGCGUUCUGCGAUGAUGUUUGUGGUGGAGAGCAGGAAGUAUAAAUAUAUGUACACGCAUCCUUCGUGGGGGGAAAACUAGUCUCUGCAGUUCUUAGGGAUGGGCUUUCCAAAAAUUUGACGGCUACCCAUGCCAGGGUAUCCGCAGCCUAGGCCUCCUCCUUUCGGCUAUCCAUUUCCUUUUCGUUUUCUGUCUUUUGUCUUUUUGGGGCCAAUUAGCGAAACGAGUUUCUGCUAUACAAGAAAAAUAAGAAGCAGCGAGAAAACAUUUCCGCAAAAUAAAUAAAGUAAAGUAAAAUAAAGGAAAGGAACGGGACGGGAUGGAGGGGGAUGGAGUAGAGUGGAGUGAAGUGAAG